UACGUAGGGUGCAAGCGUUGUCCGGAAUUAUUGGGCGUAAAGAGCUUGUAGGCGGUUUGUCGCGUCUGCUGUGAAAUUUCGGGGCUCAACCCCGAACUUGCAGUGGGUACGGGCAGACUAGAGUGUGGUAGGGGAGACUGGAAUUCCUGGUGUAGCGGUGAAAUGCGCAGAUAUCAGGAGGAAUACCGACGGCGAAGGCAGCUUACUGGGCAUUAUCUGACGCUGAGGCGCGAAAGCGUGGGUAGCAAACAGG
This 253-nucleotide ribosomal RNA is filed under the name uncultured bacterium. RNAcentral describes it as "partial 16S ribosomal RNA". It matches the Rfam family "Bacterial small subunit ribosomal RNA", at positions 524 to 776 of the family's 1533-position model. The record is from RNAcentral.